UGCAGUCGAGCGACAGAUAAGGAGCUUGCUCCUUUGACGUUAGCGGCGGACGGGUGAGUAACACGUGGAUAACCUACCUAUAAGACUGGGAUAACUUCGGGAAACCGGAGCUAAUACCGGAUAACAUAUUGAACCGCAUGGUUCAAUAGUGAAAGGCGGCUUUGCUGUCACUUAUAGAUGGAUCCGCGCCGUAUUAGCUAGUUGGUAAGGUAACGGCUUACCAAGGCAACGAUACGUAGCCGACCUGAGAGGGUGAUCGGCCACACUGGAACUGAGACACGGUCCAGACUCCUACGGGAGGCAGCAGUAGGGAAUCUUCCGCAAUGGGCGAAAGCCUGACGGAGCAACGCCGCGUGAGUGAUGAAGGUCUUCGGAUCGUAAAACUCUGUUAUCAGGGAAGAACAAAUGUGUAAGUAACUGUGCACAUCUUGACGGUACCUGAUCAGAAAGCCACGGCUAACUACGUGCCAGCAGCCGCGGUAAUACGUAGGUGGCAAGCGUUAUCCGGAAUUAUUGGGCGUAAAGCGCGCGUAGGCGGUUUUUUAAGUCUGAUGUGAAAGCCCACGGCUCAACCGUGGAGGGUCAUUGGAAACUGGAAAACUUGAGUGCAGAAGAGGAAAGUGGAAUUCCAUGUGUAGCGGUGAAAUGCGCAGAGAUAUGGAGGAACACCAGUGGCGAAGGCGACUUUCUGGUCUGUAACUGACGCUGAUGUGCGAAAGCGUGGGGAUCAAACAGGAUUAGAUACCCUGGUAGUCCACGCCGUAAACGAUGAGUGCUAAGUGUUAGGGGGGUUUCCGCCCCUUAGUGCUGCAGCUAACGCAUUAAGCACUCCGCCUGGGGAGUACGACCGCAAGGUUGAAACUCAAAGGAAUUGACGGGGACCCGCACAAGCGGUGGAGCAUGUGGUUUAAUUCGAAGCAACGCGAAGAACCUUACCAAAUCUUGACAUCCUUUUGACCGCUCUAGAGAUAGAGUCUUCCCCUUCGGGGGACAAAGUGACAGGUGGGUGCAUGGGUUGUCGUCAGCUCGUGUCGUGAGAUGGUGGGGUUAAGUCCCGCAACGAGCGCAACCCUUAAGCUUAGUUGCCAUCAUUAAGUUGGGCACUCUAAGUUGACU
RNAcentral lists this ribosomal RNA (1116 nucleotides) under bacterium. Its description in RNAcentral is "bacterial SSU rRNA". It matches the Rfam family "Bacterial small subunit ribosomal RNA", at positions 56 to 1150 of the family's 1533-position model. The record is from RNAcentral.